GACGUGGGGCGCGAGCGUUGUCCGGAUUUAUUGGGCGUAAAGAGCUCGUAGGCGGUUGGGCAAGUCACGUGUGAAAUCUCCACGCUCAACGUGGAGGCGCCACGUGAGACUGCCCUGACUCGAGUCCGGUAGGGGAGCGUGGAAUUCCCGGUGUAGCGGUGAAAUGCGCAGAGAUCGGGAGGAACACCCGUAGCGAAGGCGGCGCUCUGGGCCGGUACUGACGCUGAGGAGCGAAAGCGUGGGGAGCAAACAGG
RNAcentral lists this ribosomal RNA (254 nucleotides) under uncultured bacterium. RNAcentral's name for it is "partial 16S ribosomal RNA". It matches the Rfam family "Bacterial small subunit ribosomal RNA", at positions 524 to 776 of the family's 1533-position model. The record is from RNAcentral.